CUGUAAUUGUCCAUAGUUAUCAUUCCUAUUUUUAGGUGUAUAAAUUUGCAUUCUAUACAGCAUAUGUGGAAUAAUAAGAAAAAGAAAUUUUCCUAAAUCUCUACAUGGUAUCAGAGCAGUAGCUAUCUGAAACUUUUUUUUUCUUUCUCUUUUAUUGAAAUGGCACCAAACUCCACAGAUGACUCCUCAAAUAUUUCUACAGCUAGAACAGUUAGCCAACCAGCUGCUAUCAUCAUCGAUUCCACUCACCUCUAUUACCUUCAUCCAUCUGAUUCACCAGGAAUGGUUCUUGUCAACUCAGUUUUUGAUGGAAAAGGAUAUGGAGGAUGGCGUAGAGCCAUAAUUAUUGCACUUUCUGCCAAGAACAAACUUGGUUUCAUCGAUGGAACAUUUUAUCAACCAGAUGCGACUUCCACUAAUUUCAAGCAUUGGAAUCGCUGCAAUGAUAUGGUUAUAUCAUGGAUUUUGAACUCUCUAUCUAAGGAUAUAGCUGAAAGUGUCCUUUAUUCUAAAACUGCAAAUGAGAUUUGGAAAGAACUUGAAGUUAGAUUUGGGCAAUGUAAUGGUGCUCAACUUUAUUAGUUACAAAAGGAGUUGAGUGAUAUAGUACAGGGAACCUCUGAUAUAGCAGGUUACUAUACAAAGGUGAAAAGGAUUUGGGAUGAGUUAGAUACCUUGAAUACUUGUAUGCAUUGUACAUGUGAAUGCAAU
Molecule: long non-coding RNA, 711 nt
Filed under: Nicotiana tabacum (common tobacco)
Lineage: Eukaryota; Viridiplantae; Streptophyta; Magnoliopsida; Solanales; Solanaceae
Description: long non-coding RNA (NTAB_LNC011578)
Source: RNAcentral